AACCUUUAAUACUUGUAGUUUU
Molecule: small nuclear RNA, 22 nt
Filed under: Arabidopsis thaliana (thale cress)
Lineage: Eukaryota; Viridiplantae; Streptophyta; Magnoliopsida; Brassicales; Brassicaceae
Description: snRNA_12288
Source: RNAcentral